Long non-coding RNA from Silurus meridionalis, 1383 nucleotides. RefSeq lists it as uncharacterized. The transcript has 3 exons. NCBI's taxonomy places the organism in Eukaryota, Metazoa, Chordata, Actinopteri, Siluriformes, Siluridae. The record is from RefSeq and is a predicted model, not a curated record.
UGCAAUGAGCGCUCCUCGGCCAGCAUAAAGGCCUCUUUAUUCGCUCUGGACAGAGAAAGGAAAUCAGCUUCAGCAGAAAAAACACAGCAGGCCGAGCAAAGCGGCCACAGGGCUGCACAUCUGGAGUUAUUACAACCCUGCCUCCUCGCCAAGAAACUCCGACAUUCCUCCAGCAGCUACAAAGCCAUGGAGCCUCAAGAGUCAUCCACUCCGACUCCCACACAUGCACACGAGCUGACACACACCCCAACCACCCUCCCUCACACACAAACACACACACACCCUCACGGACUGACAUUCUCCCCCAAAAAAAUGACCUGGACCGACCAAUCCACCCCUCGUACCCCCCCAUUUACAAUUACACAAGAUGCAUGCAGCAAAUUAAUGCGAUUCACUUCCUGUUGACCUUUGACCCACCGCUUCCUGCUGCCUCCCCAAAAAAGCAGGCGGGGGGGAAAGCCAGACAGAGGAGGGUACAACAGAGACUGGGGUGAGCAAAAAAAAAAAAAGAAAGAAAGAAAAAAAGAAAAAAUUAGCUCCUCCUCUUUCUCCUCCAUCUCCCUCUUUCCUUCUCUCUGACUGGGAAAGUUAACAGCACUCUGCCACGUCAAGCUUACGAGUUGCCGCUGUGCCACCAGGUUGGAACGAGACGGUGCGCUCUGUUCUCCAACUUUUUUCAGAACGCACGAUACGUGUUGCGUUUUUGAGGGAAAAUCUACGGACUUCAACUCUGGGACAGAUGUUCUUAUUUUUCUCUCUGAACGAAAAUCAGGGCAUGGAGGCAGAUAACGUAUAAGUUCUACAAUCCCAUUUUUUACGGCCUGGCUGCAUGACUUCAAGUGCCGCCUGGCUGCAGAGUCUCACUCUGACUGGAAAGGAGAAGACAGAUGGAAUGGGGUUGGGGUGAAGCUUGAAGAGAAACAUCUGGGCUAAAUCUAGCCAUCUUUGGAAUGAAGAAGAUUCGUCCUGAGAGAAGGAAAAACCAAAACUUGCUUUUGGAGGAGGCAGGACCCUGGAGCCCUGAAAGCACCGUCGCUUGCAACAGCCGCCGUUUCUCACUCAUACAUGGUAAAGCACACAGGUUUCUCUGAUCUCUGUUUUAACCAGAAGGCCAGGACACAGGCACAUGUGUGGGUGCAAAUCAGUCCAGGCAUGGAAUCAGAAGGUUGAAACAUAGAGGACAUUGACCUGUCCCGCCUGCCCAGUGUUCAGACUACCUGUUCAGGAAGUAGCGGUUGUACAGUAGUCUGCACAUUGGUUAGGCUGGGUGGGGAAGCGCAAGAGCCGGCCCUCAUCAUUUCCAACAACUUAUCCUCCUUGUCAUGCUUUACUUAUGAACUGUGAUGUUUCAGUCUUUAAUAAAUCCAUAAAAUAAUCAUGAAA